CAGUAGCCACGGGAAAACGAAGGGUGCAAGCGUUAAUCGGAAUUACUGGGCGUAAAGCGUGCGCAGGCGGUUCGCUAAGACAGAUGUGAAAUCCCCGGGCUUAACCUGGGAACUGCAUUUGUGACUGGCGGGCUAGAGUAUGGCAGAGGGGGGUAGAAUUCCGCGUGUGGCAGUGAAAUGCGUAGAGAUGUGGAGGAAUACCGAUGGCGAAGGCAGCCCCCUGGGCCAAUACUGACGCUCAUGCACGAAAGCGUGGGGAGCAAACAGGAUUAGAUACCCCCGUAGUCCCUGUCUCUUAUAC
This 301-nucleotide ribosomal RNA is filed under the name uncultured bacterium. RNAcentral's name for it is "partial 16S ribosomal RNA". It matches the Rfam family "Bacterial small subunit ribosomal RNA", at positions 509 to 807 of the family's 1533-position model. The record is from RNAcentral.